UCCUCAGUAGCUCAGCGGUAGAGCUAUCGGCUGUUAACCGAUUGGUCGUAGGUUCAAAUCCUUCCUGGGGAG
RNAcentral lists this transfer RNA (72 nucleotides) under Eucheuma denticulatum. Its description in RNAcentral is "tRNA-Asn". It matches the Rfam family "tRNA". Rfam says of the family: Transfer RNA (tRNA) molecules are approximately 80 nucleotides in length. Their secondary structure includes four short double-helical elements and three loops (D, anti-codon, and T loops). The record is from RNAcentral. Lineage: Eukaryota; Rhodophyta; Florideophyceae; Gigartinales; Solieriaceae.